UACAGAGGGUGCUAGCGUUAAUCGGAAUUACUGGGCGUAAAGCGUGUGUAGGUGGUUAGAUAAGUUAGAUGUGAAAUCCCCGGGCUUAAUCUGGGGACUGCGUUUAAGACUGUUUAGCUUGAGUACUGUAGAGGAUAGUGGAAUUUCCAGUGUAGCGGUGAAAUGCGUAGAUAUUGGAAGGAACACCAGUGGCGAAGGCGACUAUCUGGACAGAUACUGACACUGAGACACGAAAGCGUGGGGAGCAAACAGG
This 253-nucleotide ribosomal RNA is filed under the name uncultured bacterium. RNAcentral describes it as "partial 16S ribosomal RNA". It matches the Rfam family "Bacterial small subunit ribosomal RNA", at positions 524 to 776 of the family's 1533-position model. The record is from RNAcentral.